Molecule: non-coding RNA, 21 nt
Filed under: Caenorhabditis elegans
Lineage: Eukaryota; Metazoa; Nematoda; Chromadorea; Rhabditida; Rhabditidae
Source: RNAcentral
UUCCAAAAGCAUUACGCAAGA